UGAAAUGUUGACCUCGGAUC
Molecule: ribosomal RNA, 20 nt
Filed under: Trichoderma koningii
Lineage: Eukaryota; Fungi; Ascomycota; Sordariomycetes; Hypocreales; Hypocreaceae
Description: partial 28S ribosomal RNA
Source: RNAcentral